CCUACGGGAGGCAGCAGUAAGGAAUAUUGGUCAAUGGACGAAAGUCUGAACCAGCCAUGCCGCGUGAAGGAUGACGGCCCUCUGGGUUGUAAACUUCUUUUAUAGGGGACGAAAAAAGGGUAUUCUUACUCACUUGACGGUACCCUAGGAAUAAGCACCGGCUAACUCCGUGCCAGCAGCCGCGGUAAUACGGAGGGUGCAAGCGUUAUCCGGAUUCACUGGGUUUAAAGGGUGCGUAGGUGGGUCUAUAAGUCAGUGGUGAAAUCUCCGAGCUUAACUCGGAAACUGCCAUUGAUACUAUAGGCCUUGAAUUAUCUGGAGGUAAGCGGAAUAUGUCAUGUAGCGGUGAAAUGCUUAGAUAUGACAUAGAACACCAAUUGCGAAGGCAGCUUACUACGGAUAUAUUGACACUGAGGCACGAAAGCGUGGGGAUCAAACAGGAUUAGAUACCCUGUAGUCCACGCCCUAAACUAUGGAUACUCGACAUCAGCGAUACACUGUUGGUGUNUGAGNGAAGANAUAGUAUCCACCGNGAGACGACGCGAGUAGUUAAGAGUAAGAAGUUAGUAGCGNGAGAGNGCGAGGACGACGACGAGGAGGAGG
RNAcentral lists this ribosomal RNA (603 nucleotides) under uncultured bacterium. RNAcentral's name for it is "bacterial SSU rRNA". The stretch from base 1 to 531 matches the Rfam family "Bacterial small subunit ribosomal RNA", at positions 338 to 873 of the family's 1533-position model. The record is from RNAcentral.